UGACGCUGGCGGCGUGCUUCAAACAUGCAAGUCGAACGGAGUUAAUUUUGAAGCUUGCUUUAGAAUUAACUUAGUGGCGGACUGGUGAGUAACGCGUGAGUAAUCUGCCUAUCACAGGGGGAUAACAGAGGGAAACUUCUGCUAAUACCGCAUAAGACCACAGGAUGGCAUCAUCAAGGGGUCAAAGGUUAGAUCUGGUGAUAGAUGAGCUUGCGUAUCAUUAGCUAGUUGGUGAGGGUAAAGGCCCACCAAGGCGACGAUGAUUAGCCGAUCUGAGAGGAUGACCGGCCACACUGGGACUGAGAUACGGCCCAGACUCCUACGGGAGGCAGCAGUUAGGAAUAUUGGGCAAUGGAGGAAACUCUGACCCAGCAACGCCGCGUGAAGGAAGAAGGUUUUCGGACUGUAAACUUCUGAUCUAAGGGAAAAAGAAAGUGAUGGUACCUUAGGAGAAAGCCACGGCUAACUACGUGCCAGCAGCCGCGGUAA
Molecule: ribosomal RNA, 489 nt
Filed under: uncultured bacterium
Lineage: Bacteria
Description: bacterial SSU rRNA
Rfam family: Bacterial small subunit ribosomal RNA
Source: RNAcentral